AUUGAACGCUGGCGGCAGGCCUAACACAUGCAAGUCGAGCGAGCGGCGGACGGGUGCGUAAUGUCUGGGAAACUGCCUGAUGGCGGGGGAUAACUACUGGAAACGGUUGCUAAUACCGCAUACCAUCAGCUUUGCCCAGAUGGGAUUGGCUAGUAGGUGGGGUAAUGGCUCACCUAGGCGACGAUCCCUAGCUGGUCUGAGAGGAUGACCAGCCACACUGGGACUGAGACACGGUCCAGACUCAUACGGGAGGCAGCAGUGGGGAAUAUUGGACAAUGGGAGCAAGCCUGAUGCAGCCAUGCCGCGUGUGUGAAGAAGGCCUUCGGGUUGUAAAGCACUGUCAGUGGGGAGGCGUUACCCGCAGAAGAAGCACCGGCUAACUCCGUGCCAGCAGCCGCGGUAAUUC
This 406-nucleotide ribosomal RNA is filed under the name uncultured bacterium. Its description in RNAcentral is "partial 16S ribosomal RNA". It matches the Rfam family "Bacterial small subunit ribosomal RNA", at positions 30 to 526 of the family's 1533-position model. The record is from RNAcentral.